GCGGAGGGAUCAUUACACAACAAAAUAUGAAGGCCUGGCUUUCGCGGCCGGCUGAAGUAUUUUUUUCACCCAUGUCUUUUGCGCACUUGUUGUUUCCUGGGCGGGUUCGCCCGCCACCAGGACCAAACCAUAAACCUUUUUUUCUUAUGCAGUUUCCAUCAGCGUCAGUAAAAACAAUGUAAUUAUUACAACUUUCAACAACGGAUCUCUUGGUUCUGGCAUCGAUGAAGAACGCAGCGAAAUGCGAUACGUAGUGUGAAUUGCAGAAUUCAGUGAAUCAUCGAAUCUUUGAACGCACAUUGCGCCCUUUGGUAUUCCAAAGGGCAUGCCUGUUCGAGCGUCAUUUGUACCUUCAAGCUUUGCUUGGUGUUGGGCGUUUUUUUGUCUCCCUCUUUCUGGGAGACUCGCCUUAAAACGAUUGGCAGCCGGCCUACUGGUUUCGGAGCGCAGCACAUUUUUUGCGCUUUGUAUCAGGAGAAAAGGACGGUACUCCAUCAAGACUCUACAUUUUUCACUUUUGACCUCGGAUCAGGUAGGGAUACCCGCUGAACUUAAGCAUAUCA
This 563-nucleotide ribosomal RNA is filed under the name Bipolaris oryzae. RNAcentral's name for it is "eukaryotic LSU rRNA". The stretch from base 190 to 343 matches the Rfam family "5.8S ribosomal RNA". Lineage: Eukaryota; Fungi; Ascomycota; Dothideomycetes; Pleosporales; Pleosporaceae. The record is from RNAcentral.